GCUCGGGUAGCUCAAUCUGGUAGAGCGGAAUAUUGAAGUUAUUUUUGUUGUGAGUUCAAAUCUUGCCUCGAGCA
Molecule: transfer RNA, 74 nt
Filed under: Monascus purpureus
Lineage: Eukaryota; Fungi; Ascomycota; Eurotiomycetes; Eurotiales; Aspergillaceae
Description: tRNA-Phe
Rfam family: tRNA
About the family: Transfer RNA (tRNA) molecules are approximately 80 nucleotides in length. Their secondary structure includes four short double-helical elements and three loops (D, anti-codon, and T loops). Further hydrogen bonds mediate the characteristic L-shaped molecular structure. tRNAs have two regions of fundamental functional importance: the anti-codon, which is responsible for specific mRNA codon recognition, and the 3' end, to which the tRNAs corresponding amino acid is attached (by aminoacyl-tRNA synthetases). tRNAs cope with the degeneracy of the genetic code in two manners: having more than one tRNA (with a specific anti-codon) for a particular amino acid; and 'wobble' base-pairing, i.e. permitting non-standard base-pairing at the 3rd anti-codon position.
Source: RNAcentral